This 465-nucleotide ribosomal RNA is filed under the name uncultured bacterium. Its description in RNAcentral is "partial 16S ribosomal RNA". It matches the Rfam family "Bacterial small subunit ribosomal RNA", at positions 338 to 795 of the family's 1533-position model. The record is from RNAcentral.
CCUACGGGUGGCAGCAGUGGGGAAUAUUGCGCAAUGGGCGAAAGCCUGACGCAGCGACGCCGCGUGAGGGAUGAAGGUCUUCGGAUCGUAAACCUCUGUCAGCAGGGAAGAACGGUCACUGUGCUAAUCAGCAGUGAAUUGACGGUACCUGCAAAGGAAGCACCGGCUAACUCCGUGCCAGCAGCCGCGGUAAUACGGAGGGUGCGAGCGUUAAUCAGAAUUACUGGGCGUAAAGCGCUCGUAGGUGGUAUGUCAAGUGAAUGGUGAAAUCCCCGCGCUCAACGUGGGAACUGCCUUUGAAACUGGCAAACUGGAGUGUGUGAGAGGAUAGUGGAAUGCCAGGUGUAGGAGUGAAAUGCGUAGAUAUCUGGAGGAACAUCAGUGGCGAAGGCGACUAUCUGGCACAUAACUGACGCUGAGGAGCGAAAGCGUGGGUAGCAAACAGGAUUAGAUACCCUAGUAGUC